Molecule: transfer RNA, 72 nt
Filed under: Urocitellus parryii (Arctic ground squirrel)
Lineage: Eukaryota; Metazoa; Chordata; Mammalia; Rodentia; Sciuridae
Also listed under: 1 other name
Description: Spermophilus parryii (Arctic ground squirrel) tRNA
Rfam family: tRNA
About the family: Transfer RNA (tRNA) molecules are approximately 80 nucleotides in length.
Source: Rfam by way of RNAcentral
AAGGGUAUAGCUCAGUUGUAGAGUGCUCGCCUCACGUGCACAAGACCCUGGGUUCAAUCCCCAGCACCCUGG